UAACCCUUCCUAUACUA
Molecule: transfer RNA, 17 nt
Filed under: Lucasium wombeyi (Pilbara ground gecko)
Lineage: Eukaryota; Metazoa; Chordata; Lepidosauria; Squamata; Diplodactylidae
Description: partial tRNA-Met
Source: RNAcentral